Molecule: unclassified non-coding RNA, 246 nt
Filed under: Basidiomycota sp.
Lineage: Eukaryota; Fungi; Basidiomycota
Description: partial contains small subunit ribosomal RNA, internal transcribed spacer 1, and 5.8S ribosomal RNA
Rfam family: Eukaryotic small subunit ribosomal RNA (bases 1-47)
Source: RNAcentral
AAAGUCGUAACAAGGUUUCCGUAGGUGAACCUGCGGAAGGAUCAUUAUUGAUUUUAAAGGGAUGUGCUGGCUUUCUUCGAGCAUGUGCACUCCUAACAAAACCAAUAUCCACCCCUGUGCACAUAUUGUAGAUGAGGAGUUGCAAGACUCCUGUGUCUAUGUCUCUUUUACAAACAACCAUUGAUUUAUUUGAAUGCCUUUGAAUAAUAUAUGAAACAACUUUCAACAAUGGAUCUCUUGGUUCUC